This 377-nucleotide ribosomal RNA is filed under the name uncultured bacterium. RNAcentral's name for it is "bacterial SSU rRNA". It matches the Rfam family "Bacterial small subunit ribosomal RNA", at positions 521 to 896 of the family's 1533-position model. The record is from RNAcentral.
UAAGACGAACCGUCCAAACGUUAUUCGGAAUUACUGGGCUUAAAGGGUGCGUAGGCGGCGCGGAAAGUUGGGUGUGAAAUACCUCGGCUCAACCGAGGAAUUGCGCCCAAAACUGCCGUGCUCGAGGGAGAUAGAGGUGAGCGGAACUUAGGGUGGAGCGGUGAAAUGCGUUGAUAUCCUAAGGAACACCGGUGGCGAAAGCGGCUCACUGGAUCUCUUCUGACGCUGAGGCACGAAAGCUAGGGUAGCGAACGGGAUUAGAUACCCCGGUAGUCCUAGCCGUAAACGAUGAGCACUGGAUUGGAGGGUCCUCCAUAGCCUUCCAGUCGCAACGAAAGUGUUAAGUGCUCCGCCUGGGGAGUAUGGUCGCAAGGCUG